GGAAGGAUCAUUACUGUGAUAUACUUUCCACACUGCGUGCGCGUAACAAACCCCUAAACAUGAAUAACCCAGUCAAGAAUCCAUAAGAAUAAAACUUUCAACAACGGAUCUCUUGGUUCUCGCAUCGAUGAAGAGCGCAGCGAAAUGCGAUACCUAGUGUGAAUUGCAGCCAUCGUGAAUCAUCGAGUUCUUGAACGCACAUUGCGCCCCCUGGUAUUCCGGGGGGCAUGCCUGUUUGAGCGUCGUUUCUAUCUCACGCAAGUGGAGCUGGCCCGGCCUUGGCCCCGCCGAAAAGAAACGAGGGCGAAGCGAACUAUGUUGUGCGCCGACCCCAGCUAUCAAGCUCGACCUCAAAUCAGGUAGGAAUACCCGCUGAACUUAAGCAUAUCAAUAAGCGGAGGAAAAGAAACCAACAGGGAUUGCCUCAGUAGCGGCGAGUGAAGCGGCAAGAGCUCAGAUUUGAAAUCGCCUCGGCGAGUUGUAAAUUGCAGGUUGGAGUCUUUGUGGCGGCGUGUGUCUAAGUCCCUUGGAACAGGGCGCCAUUGAGGGUGAGAGCCCCGUGCGGCACGCGCUUAAGCUUUAAGACCCUUCUGACGAGUCGAGUUGUUUGGGAAUGCAGCUCUAAGUGGGUGGUAAAUUCCAUCUAAGGCUAAAUACUGGCGAGAGACCGAUAGCGAACAAGUACUGUGAAGGAAAGAUGAAAAGCACUUUGAAAAGAGAGUGAAACAGCACGUGAAAUUGUUGAAAGGGAAGGGUAUUGGGCUCGACAUGGGGACUGCGCACCGUUGCUUCUUGUAGGCGGCGCUCUGUGCGGUUUCUGGGCCAGCAUCAGUUUUUGCCGCGGGAGAAUGGGGGGAGGAACGUGGCUCUUCGGAGUGUUAUAGCCUCUCUCAGAUGCCGCGAGCGGGGACUGAGGUCUGCGAUUCGUUCAAGGAUGCUGGCACAACGGCGCAAUACCGCCCGUCUUGAAACAUGGACCAAGGAGUCUAACGUCUAUGCGAGUGUUUGGGUGUGAAACCCCUACGCGUAAUGAAAGUGAACGUAGGUCGGACCCUUCGGGGGCACGAUCGACCGAUCCUGAUGUUUAUCGGAUGGAUUUGAGUAGGAGCAUAGCUGUUGGGACCCGAAAGAUGGUGAACUAUGCCUGAAUAGGGUGAAGCCAGAGGAAACUCUGGUGGAGGCUCGUAGCGGUUCUGACGUGCAAAUCGAUCGUCGAAUUUGGGUAUAGGGGCGAAAGACUAAUCGAACCAUCUAGUAGCUGGUUCCUGC
RNAcentral lists this unclassified non-coding RNA (1269 nucleotides) under uncultured fungus. Its description in RNAcentral is "sequence contains 18S rRNA gene, ITS1, 5.8S rRNA gene, ITS2, 28S rRNA gene". The stretch from base 346 to 1269 matches the Rfam family "Eukaryotic large subunit ribosomal RNA", at positions 1 to 961 of the family's 3401-position model. The record is from RNAcentral. Lineage: Eukaryota; Fungi.